CUUCGGCCCGUAAACCCCUCGUCAUUUGCGAACAAAUUAAUCCGCUUAACACGUGGAUUAUUGAUUGUAGUAGAAGAGGAAGGGACGGCUAACUCUGUGC
Molecule: ribosomal RNA, 100 nt
Filed under: uncultured bacterium
Lineage: Bacteria
Description: partial 16S ribosomal RNA
Source: RNAcentral